CAAUACUUAGUGGCAGACGGGUGAGUAACAUGUAGGUAUCUACCCUAUGGCCUGGAAUAACACGAGGAAACUUGUGCUAAUACCGGAUAAGUCUUUACGGAGAAAGCUUUAUGCACCAUUGGAUGAGCCUGCACUUGAUUAGUUUGUUGGUAGGGUAAUGGCCUACCAAGACUGUGAUCAAUAGAUGAUUUGAGAGGAUGAUCAGCCACAUUGGGACUGAGACACGGCCCAAACUCCUACGGGAGGCAGCAGUGGGGAAUCUUGCGCAAUGGAGGAAACUCUGAUGCAGCGAUGCCGCGUGAGUGAAGAAGGCCUUUGGGUUGUAAAGCUCUUUCGUCGGGGAAGAAAAUGACUGUACCCGAAUAAGAAGGUCCGGCUAACUUCGUGCCAGCAGCCGCGGUAAUACGAAGGGACCUAGCGUAGUUCGGAAUUACUGGGCUUAAAGAGUUCGUAGGUGGUUGAAAAAGUUGGUUGUGAAAUCCCGGAGCUUAACUCCGGAACUGCAAUCAAAACUUUUCAGCUAGAGUAUGAUAGAGGAAAGCAGAAUUUCUAGUGUAGAGGUGAAAUUCGUAGACAUUAGAAAGGAUACCAAUUGCGAAGGCAGCUUUCUGGAUCAUUACUGACACUGAGGAACGAAAGCAUGGGUAGCGAAGAGGAUUAGAUACCCUCGUAGUCCAUGCCGUAAACGAUGUGUGUUAGACGUUGGAAAUUUAUUUUCAGUGUCGCAGCGAAAGCAUUAAACACACCGCCUGGGGAGUACGACCGCAAGGUUAAAACUCAAAUGAAUUGA
RNAcentral lists this ribosomal RNA (790 nucleotides) under uncultured marine bacterium. RNAcentral's name for it is "bacterial SSU rRNA". It matches the Rfam family "Bacterial small subunit ribosomal RNA", at positions 86 to 913 of the family's 1533-position model. The record is from RNAcentral.